RNAcentral lists this ribosomal RNA (164 nucleotides) under Canna tuerckheimii. RNAcentral's name for it is "5.8S ribosomal RNA". It matches the Rfam family "5.8S ribosomal RNA". Rfam says of the family: 5.8S ribosomal RNA (5.8S rRNA) is a component of the large subunit of the eukaryotic ribosome. It is transcribed by RNA polymerase I as part of the 45S precursor that also contains 18S and 28S rRNA. Functionally, it is thought that 5.8S rRNA may be involved in ribosome translocation. RNAcentral also lists the same sequence under 1 other name. Lineage: Eukaryota; Viridiplantae; Streptophyta; Magnoliopsida; Zingiberales; Cannaceae. The record is from RNAcentral.
CAAACGACUCUCGGCAACGGAUAUCUCGGCUCUCGCAUCGAUGAAGAACGUAGCGAAAUGCGAUACCUGGUGUGAAUUGCAGAAUCCCGCGAACCAUCGAGUCUUUGAACGCAAGUUGCGCCCGAGGCCUUCUGGCCGAGGGCACGCCUGCCUGGGCGUCACGC